UACGUAGGGCGCAAGCGUUGUCCGGAAUUAUUGGGCGUAAAGAGCUCGUAGGCGGCUUGUCGCGUCGGAUGUGAAAGCCCGGGGCUUAACUCCGGGUCUGCAUUCGAUACGGGCAGGCUAGAGUUCGGUAGGGGAGAUCGGAAUUCCUGGUGUAGCGGUGAAAUGCGCAGAUAUCAGGAGGAACACCGGUGGCGAAGGCGGAUCUCUGGGCCGAUACUGACGCUGAGGAGCGAAAGCGUGGGGAGCGAACAGG
RNAcentral lists this ribosomal RNA (253 nucleotides) under uncultured bacterium. RNAcentral's name for it is "partial 16S ribosomal RNA". It matches the Rfam family "Bacterial small subunit ribosomal RNA", at positions 524 to 776 of the family's 1533-position model. The record is from RNAcentral.